This is a non-coding RNA of Phalacrocorax carbo (great cormorant), 1562 nucleotides long. NCBI's taxonomy places the organism in Eukaryota, Metazoa, Chordata, Aves, Suliformes, Phalacrocoracidae. The record is from RefSeq and is a predicted model, not a curated record.
UCAGCCUCGAAAUUCAGCCGUGACGAACGUUGGAGAAACCUUCGCAGAGAGCGGGGCGGAGGCGCAGGCGAUGCCUCCCUGCCUGCUGUCCCGCUUCAGGGUCUUGCCGUCAGAGGCUCAACGCCAGUUACAGCGUGGGUGUGGGAUGUGCUGGGUUUGGGUGUGCUGGUGGCUGCUCCAGAGCCAACGCACCCAGGGAAGCGGUCAGCUUUGCGUGGGCAGCGUAGCAAGGGCACCAGGUCCCAGCCUCACCCGACCUCUCCAGGAACGCAGCAGCACGACAGCUCGGUCCUCCCACCCCCAGCCAGCCCCUGUGCUCCGAGAGCAGCUGGCGACGGCUGAGCGUGGCUGCUGCAGCCUCUCAGGGUGGGAUUUUCAGCAACUACAGUGUUCAGCAGUGGGAAAAGAAAAUCUUAAAGGUGUGUGGUGAAGGAUGGUAUUUGCGUCAACAGCACUAGUCAAAAAAGAUGAAAAUAGAAAUGCUCCAUGGCUGUUACUGCUCGCUCAAAUCUGUAUUGCUUUAAACAGUACUGAGGCAGGUGGUGUGACGCUGAAAGCAAAGGGUGCUGCGGUACCCCAGGAGCACGAGGCUCUGAAAGGUGAGAGUUCAUGGCCAAAGUUCAUUCGCGCUUCUUUCCCCAUAGGGUGGGCCCUUUCCCAGGUGCAAACAGAGGGUCACAUCACCGUAAGCACCCCCAUAAACCAGACAGCAGUUUGGGGGGGAAGAAGCAGGGGCAAAGCGACCCUCCCGCAGGCGGACGGUGCCUCCUGGGAGCCCCGCUCGCAGGUCUGGGCUGAGCGAGCGCUCCUCCGCCCGUGCGAGGCUGAAGCCCGAUCUGACCGCCUCUGUUUAUCCCUUUAUUUUCCGCCUGGUGGAAAGCGGCUCCGUCAGCUCCGGCAUCAUCUCUCCAUCCUGAGCAGAGCGAGCCGUGCUCUGGCUGGGAGGGGAGGACGCAGCGGCUGCCUGGCGAGCGGCGCGGCGGCUCUCUGCCGAGCAUCCCCUUUCCACGCUGCGGGGAGCCCGGCACCCCCUGCCCCACCAGCUCCUCGCCCACCAUGCUGGAUAUUUUCAUCCUGAUGUUUUUUGCCAUCAUCGGCCUGGUGAUCCUCUCCUACAUCAUUUACAUGCUCUAGAACGAUGCUGGGGAAGAUGCGGCUCAGCAUCAGCCUUGCAAUUGAAGCGCCGUCCAGCUGCCGCCUGGUCCGUCUCCCUCGGAGCCUUCUGGAAAAGCGUUAACCCUCUGCGAACAAACGGCUGCCCGAUGCGGAGCGAGGAGCCGCGCGGGGUCGGCGCCGGCGUUGCGGAGGGGGCCGAGCGGGGCGAAGGGGGGAAAUGGGGUGGCAGGGGCGAGGGCAGCGAGGUGAGGGGAGAUGCGGGUUCUUCCCGCUGACACACGUGACAUCUCGGGAGGAUGCGACGGCUCCUGCCCCCGCCCGCAUGGCUCAGCCCCUUGGGAUGAGCGCUUCCGAGGUCGGGUGUUUGGGUUUAAUUUUAGAAAAGCGUUUAUAUUUUUAAUGAAAAAUGUUCAAGGAAAUGAAAUAAAGAGGAAUGACAGCACGAA